AGACAGCAGUAGCCACGGUAAUACGUAGGUGGUAAGCGUUGUCCGGAAUUAUUGGGCGUAAAGCGCGCGCAGGCGGAUAGGUCAGUCUGUCUUAAAAGUUCGGGGCUUAACCCCGUGAUGGGAUGGAAACUGCCAAUCUAGAGUAUCGGAGAGGAAAGUGGAAUUCCUAGUGUAGCGGUGAGAUGCGUAGAUAUUAGGAAGAACACCAGUGGCGAAGGCGACUUUCUGGACGAAAACUGACGCUGAGGCGCGAAAGCCAGGGGAGCGAACGGGAUUAGAUACCCCAGUAGUCCCUGUCUCUUAUACA
RNAcentral lists this ribosomal RNA (307 nucleotides) under uncultured bacterium. RNAcentral describes it as "partial 16S ribosomal RNA". It matches the Rfam family "Bacterial small subunit ribosomal RNA", at positions 506 to 809 of the family's 1533-position model. The record is from RNAcentral.